AGCAGUUGGAGGUGGUGGUGCUUGCGGGCGGACCGGAGCAGCGCAGCGGCAGCCAUGGAUCACUGAGUUCUCAGGUGUGUAGAUGUACAGAAAUAGAUUUAUCCUAUCUGAUGACAGCCAGAGUUCCAGAACACUUGGAGAAGGUACUUGAAGCAAAUACCCUGUUGAGGAACCUGAAAAGAGCUCUAUAAUGAGAUCAACAUGCAGCAGACAGUGAUUUAUCAAGCCAGUCAAGCUCUGAACUGCUGUUUUGAUGAGGAGCAUGGAAAAGGGUCACAAGGAGAAGCAGAAGCAGAGAGACUUCUCUUAGCAACUGAGAAGAGAACUGCUUUAUUGGAAGAACUGAAUAGACUGAAGAGUGAGGGGACCUCAUAGUAAAAGAGAUAAAGCUGCUUCUAUAUACACCGAAUAUGCUCCAUCCAGGGGAUCUCUUUCCAUUUCAGAAAUGCGUCUACCUCUGAAAGCAGACUUUGUGUGUGGUACUGUUCAAAAGCCAGGUUCCCUUCUUGUCUCCUUUGGAAGGUCAUAUAUAUCUGAAGUUAAAAUGCCAAGUGGACUCCUCUGUGGAAGAGAAAGGGUUUUUGACUAUGUUUGAAGAUGUUAGUGGCUUUGGAGCAUGGCAUAGGCGCUGGUGUGUGCUGUCUGGGAACUGUGUAUCCUACUGGACAUACCCGGAUGAUGAAAAACGAAAGCAUCCUUUGGGCCGGAUAAACUUGGCUAACUGCACAAGUCAUCAAAUUGAACCUGCCAACAGGGAGUUCUGUGCCCGUCCCAACACUUUUGAACUAAUAACUGUCUGACCUCAGAGGGAAGAUGACAGAGAGACUCUUGUCAGCCAGUGCAGAGACACCCUCUGUGUUACCAAGAACUGGCUGUCUGCGGAUACUAAAGAAGAGCGUAAUAUUUGGAUGCAGAAGCUCAACCAAGUCCUUGUUGACCUUCACAUGUGGCAGCCUGAUGCCUGCUAUAAAGCAAUUGGAAAGCUUUAAACUCUGGAAGAGAAAGGCAAAGAAAAUAUGUAUACAAAACCGACAGGAACUGCACAAAAAAGAAAAGGAACUUAAAUGGAAAUGUGGGAAGUCUUCUGGGUCACUUGUGCUUUAAAUUUCAGAGAGUGUUUAACAUUAUACAGGAGUAUAUUAUGCAGUAUUUGUAUUUCACUGAAGAAGUCUAAAGCUUUUUUUACUUCCUAGCUUUUGAGUAUGAUGGAAGUGAUUUGCUGUUUGCUAAAUGUGCUGGAUAACUCCUUUUUUUGGAAGUCUUUUUUAGCCAAGUGCUUUCUUUUCUUUAAACAACUACUGCAGGAAGUCACACUCCAGGGGAGGAAGGGGGGCAAGCUAGUGAAAAACCAAGCUUCCUAGAUAACUAUGCUCCCUGAAAGAAACAAUAGCUCAGAGUUUCCUAACAAGGAUGAUGCUGAAGAGCAUUUACUAUUGGAGGGGUUUUCAGGUUGCUUUUGUAAUGAUCAGGCAUAGAAGUUACAUUCUCUAACAUGCAUGAUGGGUAUUUCUUGCUUGCACAGUGUCCUUGCAGCCAGAACAAAACACACACACAAUAUAUUUAUACUUCUUUUGCCAUUUCUCAUACCAACUGGUAUGGAUAGGUGCAUGGCUUGUAUACUAUGUGGUUUACAGGUGUGGAAUUAUGUAUGCAUUAUAUUGCACUUCGAUAAAGAUGAAAUGUCUUGAUUAUUUCUGUUAGGACUGCUAUAUUAAAAAGAGAAAAAUAAUAUUAGGGUUGUAUAUGUCAACAUUUCCUGGGACUUAUGGUUUUUGCAAGUUAGAGUUCUGCAUUUGAGAACCAGGAGUAGGUUGUAAAAGUGCUUUCUCUUACUAUAAGACACUACACAGCUGCUAUAUACCAACUAAUGCUCUGCUGGCUGGAAGGAUGUCUCUUCUCCCCCCUCGCAGACACGUCCAUAAAUGCAGAUAACAGCAGUACUUCAGAGCAUCCAUAAAAUAACAGAACUUCUCAGUUAAAACGUAGGAUUUUCACAGCUUUUCACUGGGCUGGGUGAAAUACCAGCUCAUUAAUUGCAAAUGCAAUAGUGCAAUACUUAUAAUUGCAAUUGCUGUCAUGUAUUCACACUUGAAACACAAAAUUCUGUUAGCUUCUACUGUUUUCAUCCUGCCACUUAUGUCAUUUCUUUUACAGCUAGUUCUCUUUUUCUGAUGUCUUUAGAUAUUUCCAACCUAUGUAUUGAGGUUUAUUUUAUUCAUUUCAAAUAAAGAAGACACUUUCUCCUUGGUU
This is a long non-coding RNA of Melopsittacus undulatus (budgerigar), 2250 nucleotides long. RefSeq lists it as uncharacterized. NCBI's taxonomy places the organism in Eukaryota, Metazoa, Chordata, Aves, Psittaciformes, Psittaculidae. The transcript has 8 exons. The record is from RefSeq and is a predicted model, not a curated record.